This 1233-nucleotide ribosomal RNA is filed under the name Triticum aestivum (bread wheat). RNAcentral's name for it is "partial small subunit ribosomal RNA". Lineage: Eukaryota; Viridiplantae; Streptophyta; Magnoliopsida; Poales; Poaceae. The record is from RNAcentral.
AUGAGGACAGACCACUUGGCAUCCCAACUUAGUUUAAUCUGGGAGGUGGAUUCAGGAUCAUAUAUUAAGUUGGUGCUCUCAUCGGAAUAUUCAUUUCCCAAGCAGCUGAAGAUACUGAUGCGUGCUGAUGUAUCACAUGUUGAAAACCUUGAAAGUUCUCUAGAAAGAGAGGAAGAUGAAGUAUUGGUAAAAGAGGAUAUCAUCAAGGCAUGUAUAUAUUGUCACGAACAGAGGAUUAGACUCGUCUAUGGAAGGAGCAUUGGGCUCCCGCUGGUUCUACCAUCAGGACUUCGUCAACUUUCUCUUUCUUCAUGCAGUAUUACAGAUGGAGCUUUAGCUAUUUGCCUUGAUGGCUUGGCUUCUCUGGAAAGGUUGUCCUUAGAAGAAAUUAUGACUUUAACUACACUUCCUUCAGAAGAGGUCCUCCAGCAUUUGACAAAACUUGGCAGCUUGGUCAUCAAAUGUUGCUGGCGUCUCAGGUCAUUAGGGGGCUUACGAGCUGCUACCUCUCUUUCUCAUGUGAGAUUGAUGUUCUGCCCUUCUUCAGCGUUGGCAUGUGGAGCAGAAUGUUUGCCAUUAUCUCUUGAGAGUCUAUGUAUAUGGAAUUGUGUGCUUGGAGCUGACUUCCUUUGUGCUGACUGGCCACACAUUAAUGCUAUUGAAAUAAGAUAUUGCAGAAGCACCGCUUGCAUGUCUGUUGGUAAUUUAACCUCUGUUAAAUCAUUCUCACAGUUUAGCUUGCCAGAUUUAUGCACGCUCCAAGGAUUGUCUUCCCUGCAACUUGAAAGUGUACAUUUGUAUGAUGUUCCGAAACUCACCCCGGAGUGUAUCUCACAGUUUCGAGUCCAGAAUUCACUCGGAGUUAGCAGUCCUGUAAUACUCAACAACAUGCUCUCGGCUGAAGGUUUCACAGUUCCAAAAACCCUCUCUCUUAUAAACUGCGAGGAGCCAGUUAUUUCGUUGGAAGAAUCCGCAAAUUUCACAUAUGUCCAGAGCCUGACAUUCUUUGGUUGUCGGAUGAUUUCCCUGCCAACAAAUCUGAAAUGCUUCUCCAAUCUGAAGAAUCUUCACAUCCAGCGCUGCCUCAACAUAUCAUCUUUACCAGAUCUGCCAUCCUCCCUCCAACACAUACGCGUAUUGGCUUGUUCUGAGCUCUUGAAGGAGAACUGCCGAGCACCUGAUGGAGAAAGUUGGCCAAAGAUUGCUCAUAUCCGCUGGAAGGAAUUUAGAUAG